This 445-nucleotide ribosomal RNA is filed under the name uncultured bacterium. RNAcentral's name for it is "SSU rRNA". It matches the Rfam family "Bacterial small subunit ribosomal RNA", at positions 26 to 518 of the family's 1533-position model. The record is from RNAcentral.
AGAACGAACGCUGGCGGCAUGCCUAACACAUGCAAGUCGAACGCCCCGCAAGGGGGAGUGGCGGACGGGUGAGUAACACGUGGGAACCUGCCCAAUGGUCUGGAAUAACCGCGGGAAACUGCGGCUAAUACCGGAUAAGCCCGAGAGGGGAAAGAUUUAUCGCCGAUGGAGGGGCCCGCGUCCGAUUAGGUAGUUGGUGGGGUAAUGGCCUACCAAGCCUACGAUCGGUAGCUGGUCUGAGAGGAUGAUCAGCCACACUGGGACUGAGAUACGGCCCAGACUCCUACGGGAGGCAGCAGUGGGGAAUUUUGCGCAAUGGGGGAAACCCUGACGCAGCAACGCCGCGUGGAGGAUGAAGUCCCUUGGGACGUAAACUCCUUUCGAUCGGGACGAUUAUGACGGUACCGGAAGAAGAACGCCCGGCUAACUUCGCGCCAGCAGCCGC